This 483-nucleotide ribosomal RNA is filed under the name uncultured bacterium. RNAcentral's name for it is "partial 16S ribosomal RNA". It matches the Rfam family "Bacterial small subunit ribosomal RNA", at positions 30 to 507 of the family's 1533-position model. The record is from RNAcentral.
AUUGAACGCUGGCGGCAGGCCUAACACAUGCAAGUCGAGCGGAUGAAGGGAGCUUGCUCCUGGAUUCAGCGGCGGACGGGUGAGUAAUGCCUAGGAAUCUGCCUGGUAGUGGGGGAUAACGUCCGGAAACGGGCGCUAAUACCGCAUACGUCCUGAGGGAGAAAGUGGGGGAUCUUCGGACCUCACGCUAUCAGAUGAGCCUAGGUCGGAUUAGCUAGUUGGUGGGGUAAAGGCCUACCAAGGCGACGAUCCGUAACUGGUCUGAGAGGAGGAUCAGUCACACUGGAACUGAGACACGGUCCAGACUCCUACGGGAGGCAGCAGUGGGGAAUAUUGGACAAUGGGCGAAAGCCUGAUCCAGCCAUGCCGCGUGUGUGAAGAAGGUCUUCGGAUUGUAAAGCACUUUAAGUUGGGAGGAAGGGCAGUAAGUUAAUACCUUGCUGUUUGGACGUGACCAACAGAAUAAGCACGGCUAACUUCGUG